GCGAUUAUUAAUUGAAUUUACAGCUCAUUAAUCACUGCAUUCAUUUGAUAAGCUCUGCUACUGGAUUUUCCAAAGCAUGCCUUCUCUUUCAGUGAGUUGAUCUUCAAUGUCAUCAAUUUGUUGGCCCAAACAACCUCAGCAAAUGUGGAUGCUUUGUGGGCUGGGCAACCGAAUCAAGUUGGCUCGACCGCCAACCACCGAAUACCGAAGAGCAAAUCUGGUCGUCGAACCAACGCACUAGAAAACCACAGUGCUGAUGAAUGAAUGGUUUGGUUUGGUUUGAGUUUAUCAUGGAGAUAACAACAGCCAAGAUCGAGAGAGGGAGGUAGCAAGUAGCUAGGCGUCGAGGAUCUAGAUAAGCCUAGAUCUUUUCAGACUGUGGACUGCGCCAAGCUGGC
RNAcentral lists this long non-coding RNA (398 nucleotides) under Prunus persica (peach). Its description in RNAcentral is "long non-coding RNA (PPER_LNC001802)". The record is from RNAcentral. Lineage: Eukaryota; Viridiplantae; Streptophyta; Magnoliopsida; Rosales; Rosaceae.